RNAcentral lists this ribosomal RNA (595 nucleotides) under uncultured bacterium. RNAcentral's name for it is "bacterial SSU rRNA". It matches the Rfam family "Bacterial small subunit ribosomal RNA", at positions 257 to 844 of the family's 1533-position model. The record is from RNAcentral.
GUAAGAGCUUACCAAGGCUAUGACGGGUAGCUGGUCUGAGAGGACGAUCAGCCACACUGGAACUGAGACACGGUCCAGACACUACGGGUGGCAGCAGUCGAGAAUCUUUCUCAAUGGGGGCAACCCUGAAGGAGCGACGCCGCGUGGGGGAUGAAGGGCUUCGGCUCGUAAACCCCUGUCAUUUGUGGGCAGGUGUGAUUGUUUAAGAGAUGGUUACAUAGAUAGUAGCAAAAGAGGAAGGGACGGCUAACUCUGUGCCAGCAGCCGCGGUAAUACAGAGGUCCCAAGCGUUGUUCGGAAUCACUGGGCGUAAAGGGUGCGUAGGCGGUAGUGUAAGACUUAGGUGAAAUCUCCAUGCUUAACGUGGAGCUCGCCUGGGAGACUGCAUUACUUGAGGAUUGGAGGGGAGACUGGAAUUCUUGGAGUAGCAGUGAAAUGCGUAGAUAUCAAGAGGAAGACCAGUGGCGAAGGCGAGUCUCUGGACAAUACCUGACGCUGAGGCACGAAGGCCAGGGGAUCAAACGGGAUUAGAUACCCCGGUAGUCCUGGCAGUAAACGGUGCACACUUGCUGUGUGAGGGAUCGACCCCUUACGU